ACUCAAAGGAAUAGACGGGGGCCCGCACAAGCGGUGGAGCAUGUGGUUCAAUUCGAAGCAACGCGAAGAACCUUACCAGCUUUUGACAUCCCGGUCGCGGGCACCAGAAAUGGAGCCUUUCAGUUAGGCUGGACCGGAGACAGGUGCUGCAUGGCUGUCGUCAGCUCGUGUCGUGAGAUGUUGGGUUAAGUCCCGCAACGAGCGCAACCCUCGCCUUUAGUUGCCAUCAUUUAGUUGGGCACUCUAAGGGGACUGCCGGUGAUAAGCCGCGAGGAAGGUGGGGAUGACGUCAAGUCCUCAUGGCCCUUACAGGCUGGGCUACACACGUGCUACAAUGGCGGUGACAAUGGGACGCAAUGGGGAGACCCUGCGCAAAUCUCAAAAAGCCGUCUCAGUUCGGAUUGUGCUCUGCAACUCGAGCACAUGAAGUUGGAAUCGCUAGUAAUCGCAGAUCAGCACGCUGCGGUGAAUACGUUCCCGGGCCUUGUACACACCGCCCGU
RNAcentral lists this ribosomal RNA (501 nucleotides) under uncultured bacterium. RNAcentral describes it as "partial 16S ribosomal RNA". It matches the Rfam family "Bacterial small subunit ribosomal RNA", at positions 899 to 1397 of the family's 1533-position model. The record is from RNAcentral.